GUUAGGAAUUUAUAUUGAAUUUGUCCCAUAUGAAAUAAUAAUGUAACGACCCAGCCCACUAGCGACAAUAACUCGUUGGGCCCAACAACCGGCCCAAAAUGCUUAAGCCCAGUUAUUAUUACUAGUGUCUAAGUCUCUUAUAAACCCAAUGACAACGAUCCAGCCCACUAGCGACAAUAACUCGUUGGGCCCAACAACCGGACCAAAAUGGUUAAGCCCAGUUAUUAUUACUAGUGUUUAAGUCUUAUUAUUACUAGUGUCUAAGUCUCUUAUAAACCCAAUGACAACGAUCCAGCCCACUAGCGACAAUAACUCGUUGGGCCCAACAACCGGACCAAAAUGCUUAAGCCUAGUUAUUAUUACUAGUGUUUAAGUCUCUUAUAAGAUCAAUGACAACCCCAUUCCCAUCCGAUAUGGGAUUAUUGGGGUGUCACAGACUCCUCCCGUUAAGGCCCUGACGUCCUCGUCAGUCCAAUCACACACACAGCCCAAGAUCACCAGGCGAUGUGAGACUCGUCUCGCUAGCCCGUCAU
This 533-nucleotide long non-coding RNA is filed under the name Ananas comosus (pineapple). RNAcentral describes it as "long non-coding RNA (ACOM_LNC009915)". The record is from RNAcentral. Lineage: Eukaryota; Viridiplantae; Streptophyta; Magnoliopsida; Poales; Bromeliaceae.